ACUUCCCACACCAUAUUAUGACAUGUCAGCUGUGCAGGCUGUGAAUGCAAGUGAAGCGUUAAAGCGAAAGCAAAAUGGAAGAAAGAGUCAUAAGACUGUUAUGGAUAAGGGCUUCCAUAAAUAAUAACCCUGGAGCAUGAUGACAGAAAUGACUCACGAGGCACCACAGGGCUCCAGAUGAG
Molecule: long non-coding RNA, 182 nt
Organism: Sinocyclocheilus anshuiensis
Lineage: Eukaryota; Metazoa; Chordata; Actinopteri; Cypriniformes; Cyprinidae
Exons: 3
Source: RefSeq, a predicted model, not a curated record